UACUAGAGUAGCACUCGCAUAUCAAUAAGCGGAGGAAAAGAAACUAACAAGGAUUCCCCUAGUAACGGCGAGUGAAGCGGGAAGAGCUCAAAUUUGAAAUCUUAAAGGGUUUCCCUUUACGAAUUGUAGUUUAAAGAAGUGCUUUUCUGUUGAGGUUUUGGUAAAAGUUCUUUGGAAUAGGACAUCAUAGAGGGUGAGAAUCCCGUAUUUGACCUUUACUUUCAACUUUGUGAUACACUUUCAAAGAGUCGGAUUGUUUGGGAAUGCAGUCCAAAAUGGGUGGUAAAUUUCAUCUAAAGCUAAAUAUUGGCGAGAGACCGAUAGCGAACAAGUACCGUGAGGGAAAGAUGAAAAGAACUUUGAAAAGAGAGUUAAACAGUACGUGAAAUUGUCAAAAGGGAAGCGUUUGACACCAGUGUUGUUUUUCUGAAAAUCAAUUAAAGAACUGUUUAUGCUAAGCUGUUUAGACUUUAUCAGCUAUCUGUUUAGUUUUGAGCUUUUCUUUAAUGCACUUUUCAGUUAACAAGUCAACAUCAAUUUCUUUUGCUGUAAAAAAGCUUGAGGAAGGUGGCUUGAGAUUCGUCUUAAGUGUUUAUAGCCUCUUGCCUAUGCAGUCGGAGAGAUUGAGGUCUGCAGCGUAGAUCCUUCGGGGCUAAAUGCAUUUGUGCUAAGUUAUAGCAUUUUAUAGACAACUUGUUGACUAUGAUUUGUCUUGUAGCUUACUCGCUUAUGUUAUUUUACCUACGCUUAGGAUGUUGAUCUCUCACAGUCGAGC
Molecule: ribosomal RNA, 775 nt
Filed under: uncultured Neocallimastigales
Lineage: Eukaryota; Fungi; Neocallimastigomycota; Neocallimastigomycetes; Neocallimastigales
Description: partial large subunit ribosomal RNA
Rfam family: Eukaryotic large subunit ribosomal RNA
Source: RNAcentral